Molecule: small nuclear RNA, 107 nt
Filed under: Phascolarctos cinereus (koala)
Lineage: Eukaryota; Metazoa; Chordata; Mammalia; Diprotodontia; Phascolarctidae
Source: RNAcentral
GUGCUUGCUUCAGCAGCACAUAUACUAAAAUUGGAAUGAUAUAGAGAAGAUUAGCAUGGCCCCUGUGCAAGGAUGACAUACAAAUUUGUGAAGUGUUCCAUAUUUUU